AAAAGCAAAUAAGGGCGUACGGCGGAUGCCUAGGCUUCUAGAGGCGAUGAAGGACGCGACAAGCUGCGAUAAGCUUCGGGGAGGUGCACAUAACCUUUAAUCCGAAGAUUUCCGAAUGGGGCAACCCAAUACCAUGAAGUGGUAUUACCCGCAAGGGGGCAAACCCGGAGAACUGAAACAUCUAAGUACCCGGAGGAAGAGAAAACAAUAGUGAUUCCCAAAGUAGUGGCGAGCGAAAUGGGAAUAGCCCAAACCAGUACUGUUUCGGCAGUGCUGGGGUUGUAGGACUGCGAUAUCUGUUGCUCGACGAAGUAGAAUGUGUUGGAAAGCACAGCCAUAGAGGGUGAAAGUCCCGUAUACGUAAGUUGUAGUAAAUGGUAGCAGUAUCCUGAGUAGCGCGGGACACGAGAAAUCCUGUGUGAAUCUGUCAGAACCAUCUGAUAAGGCUAAAUACUCCUAGAAGACCGAUAGUGCACUAGUACCGUGAGGGAAAGGUGAAAAGUACCCUGAAUAAGGGAGUGAAAUAGAUCCUGAAACCGUACGCCUACAAGCGGUCGGAGCCUCUAUAUGGGGUGACGGCGUGCCUUUUGCAUAAUGAUCCUACGAGUUACUCCUCACUAGCAAGGUUAACCCCGACAACGGGGGCAGCCGAAGCGAAAGCAAGUCUGAAUAGGGCGCUUAGUUAGUGGGGGUAGACGCGAAACCCAGUGAUCUACCCAUGGCCAGGUUGAAGCUCUGGUAACACAGAGUGGAGGACCGAACCAAUAGACGUUGAAAAGUCUUUGGAUGAGCUGUGGGUAGGGGUGAAAGGCUAAUCAAACUGGGAAAUAGCUCGUUCUCCCCGAAAUGCAUUUAGGUGCAGCCUCGAGGUGAGUUUACUAGAGGUAGAGCGACUGGUUGGAUGCGGGGGCUUCAUCGCCUACCAAAUCCUGUCAAACUCCGAAUGCUAGUAAAUAUACUCGGGAGUGAGGGCAUGGGUGCUAAGGUCCAUGUCCGAGAGGGAAACAACCCAGACUAUCUGCUAAGGCCCCCAAAUGUAUACUAAGUUGAUCAAACGUGGUCUGAUUGCACUGACAGCUAGGAUGUUGGCUUGGAAGCAGCCAUUCAUUUAAAGAGUGCGUAACAGCUCACUAGUCGAGCGAUCGGGCGUGGAUAAUAAUCGGGCAUUAAGUAUACUGCCGAAGCAAUAGCAUCGAAAGAUGGGUAGGGGAGCAUUCUAGUUGCGUAGAAGCAGUGCUGUAAGGCAUUGUGGAGCGUCUAGAAAAGAAAAUGUAGGAAUAAGUAACGAUAAAGCAGGCGAGAAACCUGCUCACCGAUAGACUAAGGUUUCCUGAACAACGCUAAUCGGUUCAGGGUUAGUCGGGACCUAAGGCGAACCCGAAUGGGGUAGUCGAUGGACAACGGGUUAAUAUUCCCGUACUUGUGUUUACUGCGAUGGGGUGACGGAGUAGUGAAAGUCCUGCGUACUGACGGAAUAGUACGUUGAAGCCAGUAGAUAUAGGACCUGUAGGCAAAUCCGCAGGUCUUGUCGAAGGUGAUAGUACUCGGAGUUUUCGAACAAAGAGAUAUGGACCUAAUCAGACUUCCAAGAAAAACCUCUAAGCAUCAGGUAAAUACGACUCGUACCGCAAACCGACACAGGUAGUCGAGGAGAGAAUCCUAAGGUGCUCGAGUGAAUCAUGGCUAAGGAACUAGGCAAAAUCGCCUCGUAACUUCGGGAGAAGAGGCGCCUCGCUUCGGCGAGGCCGCAGUGAAAAGGCCCAGGCGACUGUUUAUCAAAAACACAGGACUCUGCAAAAUCGAAAGAUGAAGUAUAGGGUCUGACACCUGCCCGGUGCCGGAAGGUUAAGAGGAGAUGUCAUCUUCGGAGAAGCAUUGAAUUGAAGCCCCGGUAAACGGCGGCCGUAACUAUAACGGUCCUAAGGUAGCGAAAUUCCUUGUCGGGUAAGUUCCGACCUGCACGAAUGGUGCAACGAUCUGGGCACUGUCUCAGCCAUGAGCUCGGUGAAAUUGUAGUAUCGGUGAAGAUGCCGGGUACCCGCAAUGGGACGAAAAGACCCCGUGAACCUUCACUAUAGCUU
Molecule: ribosomal RNA, 2081 nt
Filed under: marine metagenome
Description: bacterial LSU rRNA
Rfam family: Bacterial large subunit ribosomal RNA
Source: RNAcentral